GAUGAACGCUGGCGGCGUGCCUAAUACAUGCAAGUCGAGCGAACAGACGAGGAGCUUGCUCCUCUGAUGUUAGCGGCGGACGGGUGAGUAACACGUGGAUAACCUACCUAUAAGACUGGGAUAACUUCGGGAAACCGGAGCUAAUACCGGAUAACAUGUUGAACCGCAUGGUUCAACAGUGAAAGACGGUCUUGCUGUCACUUAUAGAUGGAUCCGCGCCACAUUAGCUAGUUGGUAAGGUAACGGCUUACCAAGGCAACGAUGCGUAGCCGACCUGAGAGGGUGAUCGGCCACACUGGAACUGAGACACGGUCCAGACUCCUACGGGAGGCAGCAGUAGGGAAUCUUCCGCAAUGGGCGAAAGCCUGACGGAGCAACGCCGAGUGAGUGAAGAAGGUCUUCGGAUCGUAAAACUCUGUUAUUAGGGAAGAACAAAUGUGUAAGUAACUAUGCACGUCUUGACGGUACCUAAUCAGAAAGCCACGGCUAACUACGUG
This 497-nucleotide ribosomal RNA is filed under the name uncultured bacterium. RNAcentral describes it as "partial 16S ribosomal RNA". It matches the Rfam family "Bacterial small subunit ribosomal RNA", at positions 28 to 507 of the family's 1533-position model. The record is from RNAcentral.